RNAcentral lists this small RNA (680 nucleotides) under Pan troglodytes (chimpanzee). Its description in RNAcentral is "retained intron". Lineage: Eukaryota; Metazoa; Chordata; Mammalia; Primates; Hominidae. The record is from RNAcentral.
GUAGCCGUGGGCGUCCAAAUGAAGCUGGAAUUCCUCCAGCGCAAAUUCUGGGCGGCAACACGGCAGUGCAGCACUGUGGAUGGGCCGUGCACACAGAGCUGCGAGGACAGUGAUCUGGACUGCUUCGUCAUCGACAACAACGGGUUCAUUCUGAUCUCCAAGAGGUCCCGAGAGAGUGACCAUGUAUGACUAUCAGGCCAUGUGCAAACCCUCGAGUCACCAUCACAGUGCAGCCCAGCCCCUGGUCAGCCCAAUUUCUGCCUUCUUGACGGCGACCAGGUGGCUGCUGCAGGAGCUGGUGCUGUUCCUGCUGGAGUGGAGUGUCUGGGGCUCCUGGUACGACAGAGGGGCCGAGGGUGAGUGCACGGAGCUGCAGGGCCAUGUGCUGAAGAGCAGUGGCAUUUUGGUCCACUAACGUGAGACCAUUCCCCGUGGGGUGGGUGACAGUGGGGAUAGGUGACCCUGAAGCAUCGUUGUUCACAUCUCACCCUGCGUGGCCUUCUCUCAUCACAUCCCUCACUCCUGGCUCUGUGUGUGACAUCAUCUUGGGACACUGCCACUCCAUGUGCCAUCAUCACCACCCCAUGACAUCCUGCCCUCAUGUGCCACCAUGUUUUCCUGUGCCGUGUCCACCCUGUGCUGGGCUUAUGUUCCGGCCAGCCAAAAGUGUCUUCCAUCAC